Molecule: ribosomal RNA, 429 nt
Filed under: Bacteroidota bacterium
Lineage: Bacteria; Pseudomonadati; Bacteroidota
Description: Bacteroidetes bacterium partial 16S ribosomal RNA
Rfam family: Bacterial small subunit ribosomal RNA
Source: RNAcentral
UAGGGAAUCUUCCGCAAUGGACGCAAGUCUGACGGAGCAACGCCGCGUGAGUGAAGAAGGAUUUCGGUUCGUAAAACUCUGUUGUUAGAGAAGAACAGCGCAUAGAGUAACUGUUAUGCGUGUGACGGUAUCUAACCAGAAAGCCACGGCUAACUACGUGCUAGCAGCCGCGGUAAUACGUAGGUGGCAAGCGUUGUCCGGAUUUAUUGGGCGUAAAGCGAGCGCAGGCGGUCAAUUAAGUCUGAUGUGAAAGCCCCCGGCUCAACCGGGGAGGGUCAUUGGAAACUGGUUGACUUGAGUGCAGAAGAGGAGAGUGGAAUUCCAUGUGUAGCGGUGAAAUGCGUAGAUAUAUGGAGGAACACCAGUGGCGAAGGCGACUCUCUGGUCUGUAACUGACGCUGAGGCUCGAAAGCGUGGGUAGCAAACAGG